AUGGAGGAAGAGCCUACAGAGGCACCACUUUACAUCCAUAUCGAGACUAAUGAUUUUUCAUACAGAAGGCACAAGCGGCAGAAGGAGGAGGACAUAGCUGUAUGCGAGUGUCAGUAUGAUUUGAUGGAUCCAGAUAGCGCAUGUGGAGAGAGGUGCUGGAAUGUCUCGACUAACACAGAGUGCACGCCUGGCUAUUGCCGCUGUGGUGUAUAUUGCAAGAACCAGCGAUUUCAAAAAAGUCAAUAUGCUAGGACAAGGCUGGUAAAAACUGAAGGGCGCGGGUGGGGUCUUUUGGCUGAUGAAAAUAUUACAGCUGGACAAUUUGUUAUUGAAUAUUGUGGAGAAGUAAUAUCAUGGAAGGAAGCCAAGCGGAGAUCUCAAACAUAUGAAGACCAGGGUUUAACGGAGUCUUAUAUUAUUUACCUCAAUGCUGAUGAGUCUAUUGAUGCAACAAAGAAAGGGAGUCUGGCCAGAUUUAUCAACCAUUCGUGCCAGCCGAACUGUGAGACAAGAAAAUGGACUGUCCUCGGGGAAGUAAGAGUUGGCAUUUUUGCAAAGCAAGAUAUUCCUAUUGGAACGGAAUUAUCCUAUGACUAUAAUUUUGAGUGGUUUGGUGGUGUGAUGGUGCGGUGCCUCUGUGGAGCUACCGGAUGUUCAGGGUUUCUUGGGGCAAAAUCACGUGGUUUCCAGGAGGCCACAUACCUGUGGGAAGAUGAUGACGACAGAUUUUCUGUUGAAAAUAUCCCUCUUUAUGACUCUACCGAUGACGAACAUACAAGCAUUCCGAAGGACUCCAUUCUAGCAAAAUUUGAGCCAGUCACCCAAGAAAAUAACAGCAACAUAGUGCAUACCACUGAGAAUUCUGAGAUUGCAAGCUCAAACGAAUUCACGCCAUUGAGUGUUGAACCAUUGACGGCUAGCUCAGAUGAACUCACACCAAUGACUAUUGAACCACUGAUAGCUGUUCCAGUGGGAGUUGAUAUUAUGGAGAAUGGAUUGACCGAAUAUGGUGCACAAUAUUCUGAUGACGCCGCACAAAAUUCAAUGCAUAAAGUUGCAAAGCUUGAGAAUCAAAGUUCUCCCCAGAACAACAACCAUCAUACCGAAUUGGUCCUGGUGAGACCCACACCCAAAUUUCGUGGUGGCAAAGCUAAACGUGGUCUGCGCAAGCAAUUGAAUGUUGCAGAUAUUUGUGACCGGUUACCAUCAGCUGCGGCACGCCAGGAGAUAUUGUUCUGUGAGGAAGUGAAGAAGCAGGCGACUGCCGAAAUCGACGCCCUGUACGACGAGAUAAGACCAGCGAUUGAAGAACAUGAGAGGGACAGCCAAGACAAUGUAUCAACAAGCCUUGCAGAGCAGUGGAUCGAGGCCAGCUGCUGCAAGUACAAAGCUGAGUUUGAUCUAUCUGCUGCAAUUAUCAAGAACUUGGCUUCGACGCCUCUGAGAGCAAAAGAAGAUGUGAACCCUAGAGAACAAAAUGGAGUGUUAUACCUGCAAAACGGUCCAUGA
Molecule: ribosomal RNA, 1509 nt
Filed under: Triticum aestivum (bread wheat)
Lineage: Eukaryota; Viridiplantae; Streptophyta; Magnoliopsida; Poales; Poaceae
Description: partial small subunit ribosomal RNA
Source: RNAcentral